UGCCAGCGGUCCGGCCGGGAACUCAAAGGAGACUGCCAGUGAUAAACUGGAGGAAGGUGGGGAUGACGUCAAGUCAUCAUGGCCCUUACGACCAGGGCUACACACGUGCUACAAUGGCGCAUACAAAGAGAAGCGACCUCGCGAGAGCAAGCGGACCUCAUAAAGUGCGUCGUAGUCCGGAUUGGAGUCUGCAACUCGACUCCAUGAAGUCGGAAUCGCUAGUAAUCGUGGAUCAGAAUGCCACGGUGAAUACGUUCCCGGGCCUUGUACACACCGCCCGUCACACCAUGGGAGUGGGUUGCAAAAGAAGUAGGUAGCUUAACCUUCGGGAGGGCGCUUACCACUUUGUGAUUCAUGACUGGGGUGAAGUCGUAACAAGGUAACCGUAGGGGAACCUGCGGUUGGAUCACCUCCUUACCUUAAAGAAGC
RNAcentral lists this ribosomal RNA (429 nucleotides) under Escherichia coli. RNAcentral describes it as "bacterial SSU rRNA". It matches the Rfam family "Bacterial small subunit ribosomal RNA", at positions 1116 to 1533 of the family's 1533-position model. Lineage: Bacteria; Pseudomonadati; Pseudomonadota; Gammaproteobacteria; Enterobacterales; Enterobacteriaceae. The record is from RNAcentral.